This 77-nucleotide transfer RNA is filed under the name Clostridiales bacterium. RNAcentral's name for it is "tRNA-Val". It matches the Rfam family "tRNA". From Rfam's summary of the family: Transfer RNA (tRNA) molecules are approximately 80 nucleotides in length. Their secondary structure includes four short double-helical elements and three loops (D, anti-codon, and T loops). The record is from RNAcentral. Lineage: Bacteria; Bacillati; Bacillota; Clostridia; Eubacteriales. RNAcentral also lists the same sequence under 2 other names.
GGGAGCAUAGCUCAGCUGGUUAGAGCACAUGCCUUACAAGCAUGGGGUCACAGGUUCGAGCCCUGUUGUUCCCACCA